CAAGUCGAGCGAUGAAGCACCUUCGGGUGUGAAUUAGCGGCGAACGGGUGAGGAACAAGUGAGAAAUCUGCCUUCAACACUGGGAUAACUCCGGGAAACCGGGGCUAAUACCGGAUAUGAAACCUGCGGGCAUCCGCGGGUUUGGAAAGUUUUUCGGUUGAAGAUGAUCUCGCGGCCUAUCAGCUUGUUGGUGAGGUAAUGGCUCACCAAGGCGACGACGGGUAGCCGGCCUGAGAGGGCGACCGGCCACACUGGGACUGAGACACGGCCCAGACUCCUACGGGAGGCAGCAGUGGGGAAUAUUGGGCAAUGGAGGAAACUCUGACCCAGCGACGCCGCGUGCGGGAUGAAGGCCUUCGGGUUGUAAACCGCUUUCAGCAGGGAAGAAGCGAAAGUGACGGUACCUGCAGAAGAAGCACCGGCUAACUAUGUGCCAGCAGCCGCGGUAAUACAUAGGGUGCAAGCGUUGUCCGGGAUUAUUGGGCGUAAAGAGCUCGUAGGUGGUUCGUCACGUCGGAUGUGAAACUCUGGGGCUUAACCCCAGACCUGCAUUCGAUACGGGCGAGCUUGAGUAUGGUAGGGGAGUCUGGAAUUCCUGGUGUAGCGGUGGAAUGCGCAGAUAUCAGGAGGAACACCAAUGGCGAAGGCAGGACUCUGGGCCAUUACUGACACUGAGGAGCGAAAGCGUGGGGAGCGAACAGGAUUAGAUACCCUGGUAGUCCACGCCGUAAACGGUGGGCACUAGUUGUGGGGACCUUCCACGGUCUCUGCGACGCAGCUAACGCAUUAAGUGCCCCGCCGUGGGGGAGUACGAUCGCAAGAUUAAAACUCAAAGGAAUUUGACGGGGGCCCCGCACAAGCAGCGGAGCAUGCGGCUUAAUUCCGACGCAACGCGAAGAACCUUUACCAAGGCUUUGACAUAUACAGGAAAUAUGGCAGAUAUGUCAUAGCCGGCAAGGGUCUGUAUUACAGGGUGGGUGCAAUGGGUUGUCGGUCAGCCUCGUGUCGUGAGGA
This 1014-nucleotide ribosomal RNA is filed under the name uncultured bacterium. Its description in RNAcentral is "bacterial SSU rRNA". It matches the Rfam family "Bacterial small subunit ribosomal RNA", at positions 58 to 1073 of the family's 1533-position model. The record is from RNAcentral.